UUCUUUUCACAUCCCUCUCUCAUUGGAGUUAUUUACAAAAAUUAUGACCGAAUCCGAUGAGGAUUGCGUACGUAUCAUAAAACUACGUGAAUCAGAUUAUUACGUAGUUCAAGAAAAUAAAUACGAAAAAUAAAGAAAUAAUUUUUGGAAAAUUUUGUUUUCAUUAGUAGAAACUCCUAAACUUUCUAUUACAAAAAAAACUACAAACUACUCCCUUUAUUGGAAUAUAAAGCUACGAACGGACUCAAAAUAAAUCAAAAUACAGAUUCGAUAAAUGAAAAAUCAGAAAUACAUCAAGGCUUCGGUUCCUGGGGCCUCUGGGACAUCAUUCGGUUUUGCCACGGGCCUACGUGCGAUAUCCCCUUGAAGCCGUUCAAAAUCACUCAUUAUAUGGUGGAUAAAUGUCAUUACUACAGCAAAGAAAGUGGUUUGACUCUUGUCUUCACAUGUUUGGCAUUUCGUGACGAUCUAGCCAGCAAUGGCUCUAACCCUCUCUCGGGCAAUACCUUUUUACUGAAGCAGGAGCCCGAUUUAGGGAUUUCGAGCUUGUAGCACUUGAGUAUCAUACUGGUUUUGAUUUUUCAACGGUUUCAUAUCUUCCCCCAUCCGGGCCAUCAAAGCAUAACAAUGUUCCCUAUUGGCUUUAAAGUUCAUAGCCUACUUGUGCGCCUUAUUUUCAAGGGUGGUUAGCUUGUUCUUCAGAUUGGUGAUCGUCCCUUCAUACUUUCUUUUCAUUUAUUGCAUAAACUGUGCCCGCCCUUUUGCAUUCUUUGCCAAUUGGGCAUGGACUUUUGCUAGACUGUCCCCCUGAAUCACAGACCCAAGAUAUCAGACACUAUCCCUCUUGGCGAUGGCCUGAGAACCAAGCAUCACGUCCCUGCCUACCCCACUCGGCUCGUCGCCAAACUUGGACUCCAGGUAUUCUGUCUUUGAUCUGCUUAUUUUGAAACCUUUAGACUCGAGGGUCUGUCUCCACACCUCUAACCUUUCACUAACACCGACCCUCGUCNNNN
Molecule: long non-coding RNA, 1013 nt
Filed under: Nicotiana benthamiana
Lineage: Eukaryota; Viridiplantae; Streptophyta; Magnoliopsida; Solanales; Solanaceae
Description: long non-coding RNA (NBEN_LNC003186)
Source: RNAcentral